Molecule: transfer RNA, 371 nt
Filed under: Gobio gobio (gudgeon)
Lineage: Eukaryota; Metazoa; Chordata; Actinopteri; Cypriniformes; Gobionidae
Description: tRNA-Gly
Rfam family: tRNA (bases 301-371)
Source: RNAcentral
CACUAGGACUCACAAUUUUACUAGGCCUUUACUUCACUGCCCUACAGGCCAUCGAAUAUUAUGAGGCACCUUUCACGAUCGCAGACGGAGUCUACGGCUCUACAUUCUUUGUAGCUACAGGAUUCCACGGACUACAUGUUAUUAUUGGGUCAACCUUCCUGGCCGUUUGCCUCCUUCGACAAAUCCAAUACCACUUCACAUCUGAACACCACUUCGGUUUUGAAGCCGCUGCCUGAUACUGACAUUUUGUCGACGUAGUGUGAUUAUUCCUUUACGUAUCCAUCUACUGAUGAGGCUCAUAUCUUUCUAGUAUUAAAUUAGUACAAGUGACUUCCAAUCAUUUAGUCUUGGUUAAACCCCAGGGAAAGAUA